CACUCUACCAUUUCAGAAUCCAUGAACGAGCCUCAUGAUAUUGAAACGAAGAUCUCGAGAAAAGACACAGACCUCCGCCACUGUGAGAUACUGCUGUAACCAGACAUUUUAAGCUUUCUUAAUGAACAAUUUGACUAGUAAUAGUAUCAACCUACCACUGAAAAUGGUAAACAUUGUACACCGUACCGAACAGUAGAACCGGUGUCCCUUUUAACAUUUUAAGAAAUGCAACCGAUUGAUAAAUGGAACCGGAUUAAUCAUUUUAAACGUUUUCAUAAAUCUGCAAGUAUUGCUAUUAUAUCAUAAUAUUAUAACAAUUUAUUUCAGACCCUUACUCAGUAGGAACGAACCUUUCAACUGACAAAACAAAAUGUGAACCCUUUGUAAACCUUUUUAGGCAGCUGUGAAUAAAUCCAGGAACGAGCCUCAUGAUAUUGAAACGAAGAUAUCGAGAAAAGACACGGACCUCCGCCACUACCCUUACUCAGUAGGAACAAACCUUUCAACUGACAAAACAAAAUGUGAAGCCUUUGUAAACCUUUUUAGGCAGCUGUGAAUAGUAAGUACAAGAAGUGAAAAAUAUUCUUCUCGUUUGAAUGUUUCUACAAACUGUUCAAUAAUCAUUACUUCAUGAAAUGUGAUCAUUUCUACUUUUACGUUCCAAACACGAACUGUGGUGUUUACCAAAGACUUUUAUAUAUAUAAUACCAGAUUUUUGUCACUCUACCUUUUCAGAAUCCAUGAACGAGCCUCAUGAUAUUGAAACGAAGAUCUCGAGAAAAGACACAGACCUCCGCCAUUGUGAGAUACUGCUGUAACCAGACAUUUUAAGCUUUCUUAAUGAACAAUUUGACUAGUAAUAGUAUCAACCUACCACUGAAAAUGGUAAACAUUGUACACCGUACCGAACAGUAGAACCGGUGUCCCUUUUAACAUUUUAAGAAAUGCAACCGAUUGAUAAAUGGAACCGAAUUAAUCAUUUUAAACGUUUUCAUAAAUCUGCAUGUAUUGCUAUUAUAUCAUAAUAUUAUAACAAUUUAUUUCAGACCCUUACUCAGUAGGAACGAACCUUUUAACUGACAAAACAAAAUGUGAACCCUUUGUAAACCUUUUUAGGCAGCUGUGAAUAAAUCCAGGAACGAGCCUCAUGAUAUUGAAACGAAGAUCACGAGAAAAGACACGGACCUCCGCCACUGUGAGAUACUGCUGUAACCAGACAUUUCAAGCUAUCUUAAUGAACAAUUUGACUAGUAAUAGUAUCAACCUACCACUGAAGAUGGUAAACAUUGUACACCGUACCGAGCAGUAGAACCGGUAUCCCUUUUAACAUUUUAAGAAAUGCAACCGAUUGAUAAAUGGAAUCGGAUUUUUUUGAGAGAUAAGUUUAAAUCAUUCUGAACGUUUUUAUAAAUCGGCAUUCACCGAGAAAUUAAGAGAUUUAUUUUGAAAUUUAAAAAAUAAAUGUUUUGCGGGGUGUGAUUAUUUUUUUAAAAGGUGUAUAUUAUUACUUACCAUUUUUAACUGAUAUGAUG
Molecule: long non-coding RNA, 1532 nt
Organism: Bolinopsis microptera
Lineage: Eukaryota; Metazoa; Ctenophora; Tentaculata; Lobata; Bolinopsidae
Exons: 4
Source: RefSeq, a predicted model, not a curated record